RNAcentral lists this ribosomal RNA (253 nucleotides) under uncultured bacterium. RNAcentral describes it as "partial 16S ribosomal RNA". It matches the Rfam family "Bacterial small subunit ribosomal RNA", at positions 524 to 776 of the family's 1533-position model. The record is from RNAcentral.
UACGGGGGGGGCAAGCGUUGUCCGGAAUUAUUGGGCGUAAAGAGCGUGUAGGCGGUCCGGUAAGUCAGCUGUGAAAGUCAAGGGCUCAACCCUUGAAUGCCGGUUGAUACUGUCGGGCUAGAGUCCGGAAGAGGCGAGUGGAAUUCCCGGUGUAGCGGUGAAAUGCGCAGAUAUCGGGAGGAACACCAAUGGCGAAGGCAGCUCGCUGGGACGGUACUGACGCUGAGACGCGAAAGCGUGGGGAGCGAACAGG